RNAcentral lists this non-coding RNA (520 nucleotides) under uncultured Glomus. RNAcentral describes it as "SSU rRNA". It matches the Rfam family "Eukaryotic small subunit ribosomal RNA", at positions 569 to 1086 of the family's 1831-position model. Lineage: Eukaryota; Fungi; Glomeromycota; Glomeromycetes; Glomerales; Glomeraceae. The record is from RNAcentral. RNAcentral also lists the same sequence under 1 other name.
AGCAGCCGCGGUAAUUCCAGCUCCAAUAGCGUAUAUUAAAGUUGUUGCAGUUAAAAAGCUCGUAGUUGAAUUUCGGGAUUGACACAUCGGUCGUGCCUUAAGGGGUAUGAACUGGUGUAGUCAAUUUCUCACCUUCUGGAGAACCGCGAUGCCCUUAAUUGGGUGUCGCGGGGAACCAGGACCUUUACUUUGAAAAAUUAGAGUGUUUAAAGCAGGCAUUUUGCUUGAAUACAUUAGCAUGGAAUAAUAAAAUAGGACGGCAUGAUUCUAUUUUGUUGGUUUCUAGGAUCACCGUAAUGAUUAAUAGGGAUAGUUGGGGGCAUUAGUAUUCAAUUGUCAGAGGUGAAAUUCUUGGAUUUAUUGAAGACUAACUACUGCGAAAGCAUUUGCCAAGGAUGUUUUCAUUAAUCAAGAACGAAAGUUAGGGGAUCGAAGACGAUCAGAUACCGUCGUAGUCUUAACCAUAAACUAUGCCGACUAGGAAUCAGACGAUGUUAAUUUUUAAUGACUCGUUUGGCAC